Long non-coding RNA from Larimichthys crocea (large yellow croaker), 138 nucleotides. RefSeq lists it as uncharacterized. The record is from RefSeq and is a predicted model, not a curated record. Lineage: Eukaryota; Metazoa; Chordata; Actinopteri; Sciaenidae. The transcript is spliced from 3 exons.
CCUGUCCAGUGAACUGCUCACCGACGGCUCACUGUCAACUGUUACUCCGUCUCCAUGGUAACAGCAAGGCGACGACGUGAUGACGUCAAACGACACAGAGGUCGUCUUUAACCUGAUCAUAUAUUUCAACUGUCACGA